RNAcentral lists this ribosomal RNA (233 nucleotides) under uncultured bacterium. Its description in RNAcentral is "partial 16S ribosomal RNA". It matches the Rfam family "Bacterial small subunit ribosomal RNA", at positions 99 to 334 of the family's 1533-position model. The record is from RNAcentral.
CGGACGGGUGAGUAAUACUUAGGAAUCUGCCCAUUAGUGGGGGACAACUAGAAGAAAUUCUAGCUAAUACCGCAUACGCCCUACGGGGGAAAGCGGGGGGAUCUUCGGACCUCGCGCUAAUGGAUGAGCCUAAGUCGGAUUAGCUUGUUGGUGAGGUAAUGGCUCACCAAGGCGACGAUCCGUAGCUGGUCUGAGAGGACGAUCAGCCACACUGGGACUGAGACACGGCCCAG